Molecule: long non-coding RNA, 573 nt
Filed under: Bos taurus (domestic cattle)
Lineage: Eukaryota; Metazoa; Chordata; Mammalia; Artiodactyla; Bovidae
Description: long non-coding RNA NONBTAT002834
Source: RNAcentral
GCUAAUUACGCAAAGUACUGCUUGUAAUUUACACAGUAAUAAACUGUAAAUUUAAACAUUACGGCACUUUAAGUUAAUAAUUUUUCUGCUGUAACAAAUAGCUCAUUUUUCACCUAUCUUUUCUCGUGGCCCCAUUGCCAUGGUUGUGUCUGUGACCAAGAGGCGUAGGUGUAAAGAGUGAAAAAUAGGAAGAAUACAGUAUGGGAAGCCUUUUCAUUUAGCUCCACUCCCACCCAAAAUCUGACCUCCAAGUUAAUUUUUCUACAGUCAGUUCUGCUAAAAUGUGUACCCUCAUGUUUAGGCUAAUCCACACACAGAUGAGUACAGAUAAUAGUGUUUGCCCAGAAACAAAUGUGUUUGAGUAACAGGCUUGACAUUUUUGACAUUCAUGCCCAUGACUUACGCUCUUUCAUCUUAACACGUCCUCACACGCGUGUAACUCUUGCUCAUGUACUGUCAGUACGCUUGCCCAAGUUCUGUGAUAGAUACUCACUGUAAGUGUACUCAAGUUGAAUGAAGGGUGAGUGCCUUCUGCCAUUUUCCAGUUUUUUUGAGAUUAGUUUCUGAAUUGCU